This 492-nucleotide ribosomal RNA is filed under the name uncultured bacterium. RNAcentral's name for it is "partial 16S ribosomal RNA". It matches the Rfam family "Bacterial small subunit ribosomal RNA", at positions 28 to 507 of the family's 1533-position model. The record is from RNAcentral.
GACGAACGCUGGCGGCGUGCUUAACACAUGCAAGUCGAACGGUGAAGCGCCUUCCUUUUUGGUGGGUGUGGAUGAGUGGCGAACGGGUGAGUAACACGUGAGUAACCUGCCCCCUUCUUCUGGAUAACCGCAUGAAAGUGUGGCUAAUACGGGAUAUUCUGGGUCUGUCGCAUGAUGGGUCUGGGAAAGAUAUUGUUUCGGUGGGGGAUGGGCUCGCGGCCUAUCAGCUUGUUGGUGGGGUGAUGGCCUACCAAGGCGGUGACGGGUAGCCGGCCUGAGAGGGUGGACGGUCACUGGGACUGAGACACGGCCCAGACUCCUACGGGAGGCAGCAGUGGGGAAUAUUGCACAAUGGGCGCAAGCCUGAUGCAGCGACGCCGCGUGAGGGAUGGAGGCCUUCGGGUUGUGAACCUCUUUCGCCAGUGAAGCAGGCCUGCCUCGUUUGUGGGUGGGUUGACGGUAGCUGGAUAAGAAGCGCCGGCUAACUACGUG